UCCCUGGCAGUCCAGUGGUUAGGACUCCACGCUUCCGCUGCUGGGGGCCUAGGUUCAAUCCCUGGUCAGGGAA
This 73-nucleotide transfer RNA is filed under the name Tursiops truncatus (common bottlenose dolphin). RNAcentral's name for it is "tRNA-Arg (CCG) (tRNA-Arg-CCG-7-1)". It matches the Rfam family "tRNA". From Rfam's summary of the family: Transfer RNA (tRNA) molecules are approximately 80 nucleotides in length. Their secondary structure includes four short double-helical elements and three loops (D, anti-codon, and T loops). Further hydrogen bonds mediate the characteristic L-shaped molecular structure. tRNAs have two regions of fundamental functional importance: the anti-codon, which is responsible for specific mRNA codon recognition, and the 3' end, to which the tRNAs corresponding amino acid is attached (by aminoacyl-tRNA synthetases). tRNAs cope with the degeneracy of the genetic code in two manners: having more than one tRNA (with a specific anti-codon) for a particular amino acid; and 'wobble' base-pairing, i.e. permitting non-standard base-pairing at the 3rd anti-codon position. RNAcentral also lists the same sequence under 3 other names. Lineage: Eukaryota; Metazoa; Chordata; Mammalia; Artiodactyla; Delphinidae. The record is from Rfam by way of RNAcentral.